GACGAACGCUGGCGGCGCACCUAAGACAUGCAAGUCGAACGGCUCCGGCCUCUUCGGAGGCGGGGGUAGUGGCGGACGGGUGAGUAACACGUAGGGGACCUGCCUCGUGGUGGGGGAUACCGCCGGGAAACCGGCGCUAAGACCGCAUGAGACCGCGCGCAUAGCGGCGCGCGGGGAAAUGUUCGUUCUUUUCGGAGACGGACAGCGACGAGAGGGCCCUGCGGCGGAUUAGCUAGUUGGUGGGGUAAGGGCCUACCAAGGCGACGAUCCGUAGCUG
RNAcentral lists this ribosomal RNA (277 nucleotides) under uncultured bacterium. Its description in RNAcentral is "partial 16S ribosomal RNA". It matches the Rfam family "Bacterial small subunit ribosomal RNA", at positions 28 to 289 of the family's 1533-position model. The record is from RNAcentral.